UGGGGCCUAUUUAAAGGAUAAGGGUUGGUGCAGCACGGGGAGGUUAAGCAUCGGCAUCAAAACUAUUGUUGACUAGUAGUGUGUUUCGUGCACACAUAGCAAUUAGACUUCUAUGGCUGUCGAUUAAAGACGACUUAAUUUACGUAAUAAAAUAUAAAAAUUAUUACAAAAAAUAGAACAAGCCAAUUCAUAACCAUUUUGUAUAGCAUUAUACCAAUUCUGACAAAAAUCGUUUUUGCCACGUCAUGGUCUGCAUGGGAGGAUCUUUGGUUUAGCAGUCUAAAUAGAGCUAUAUGGUUUGACGUGCUGUUUGACGUGCAUUUUGAUGAAACUGAUUGGCCAUUCAAUGCCAAACUAUCAAAGCAAAUUUAGCAGAGUUAAAAUUACGUUGUUAAUGGAAAUAUAAAGAGUUCGGAGUUAAUUUAACACUGGAUUGAGUUAAAACUAUUUUAUUUAGCUCUAUAAAAAUAAAGAGUUGGUGUCAAAACAGAGUGUUACCACUUUUUAAAAAAAUCAACUCCCACAGUGUUUUGUAAGUGGAGUUUGUUAACUCCUAGGGUGUUAAAUAGAGAAGACCUCCCACUUUUUACAGCACACACUGAACCGUGUUUUUGGAUGAUGCAGUUCAAGCAGAAGGUCAUCUCUUUUACUGUAAAUGGAGAUUUGCUUUGGGGACUUUAGAGGAGCACAGAAAUAGGCCUACAUGAAAAUUUCUUCAGACGAAGAGCAAUUUUAUAACAAAAAAAGUUCAAUAUCUAGUCUGAAGGUCUGACCAUCGGAUCAUAUCACCUCCUUACAGCUACUGGUUCAUCAUAUUCUGCUGUUAAUAUGUGAAGACCAACAUGGAUUUUGGAUUGAAAUGAAGUCAAACUUGUUUGUAUGACCUGAAGCAUCCCAUAAACUGUGUUUACUGUUGUUAUACAUUGGGAAUGUGCUUUUUAGUUGUCUCGGAUGUAAAUAUGUUAAUUUAAUGAACACUUAAAUGCAUGAUACAUUGAGGACAAUUUUUCUGUCAUAAAUAAAUGUUGAUCAGAUGACAUUUAAAAAAAAUCAUUAAUAGUUUUAAAAUGAGAAUGAUAGAUUAUACUGCUGUAUUGUUACAUUAAAAAACUGUUUAAAAUAAAGUUUUUUGUCCCAAAAUUACCUUAAUAUGUUUCUGUCUUUACAUUUUCCAUAUUAACACCAUAUUAAAAAAUAUAACACUACAUUGGAGUUAACAAAUUACACAGAGGGAGUUAAUUUUUAACAAAUAAAAAAUAUUUAACACUGGUUAGUGUAAAUUUAUAGUUAGACUUUUAACUCUGUAUAGUGUCAAUUGCUAACACUUUAAAAGAGUCAAUGUGCCAACAUUUUCAAAAGUGUUAAAAUAACUCUAUUGGGAGUGGACCCCAUGAGGCACUUUUAAAGUGUUGAAAUUAACUCUUAUAGAGUUAUUUUGAGGUUCCAGAUUUUGCUGUGAUACAGGAUUUGAUUUGUAGAGUAUGUGUCUUGUACAAUACCUGCCAUUUUGUAAAAUCUGAGUUAUAAAUAAACCCACGGCCAUUCUGACUUAAAGUAGAGGUAAAUGCUGGGACGGGGAAUCAGGGGAAAGUAUUUGGACGCAUCUGUGAAGAAAUUAGGUAAUCUCUUUAUUACCAUUACCAAUUCUCUUUUAAAUAUGCAGUUUUCUAUACUUCAUUAUAUUACACAAGACAUGACUGUCUUCAUCAUCCUCCCCAGUCGAUAUUACUGUGUUGGGUUCGUUAUGUCCCCUACGAUGCAGGGAAUACGUUCUGUUGCUCUUGAGGGAUUGCACAGUUGUAUUGUUUAUUUAUAUUACAGGCAGUCUCAUACGCUGCAUGAUGCAUGAUGUUGGGCUGGUGUUUGUUCAUCUCACUUUGUCAACAACAAGUAAUGCUGAUGCUGAAUGAUAACCUGGGCCUCUUUUCUGUACUGUGUUUUG
This is a long non-coding RNA of Misgurnus anguillicaudatus (oriental weatherfish), 1942 nucleotides long. RefSeq lists it as uncharacterized. The record is from RefSeq and is a predicted model, not a curated record. Lineage: Eukaryota; Metazoa; Chordata; Actinopteri; Cypriniformes; Cobitidae.